GGUCCGGUGGUGUAGCGGUUAACAUGUCUUUCUGUCAUAUAGGAGAUCGCGGGUUCGAUUCCCGUUGGGGCUG
This 73-nucleotide transfer RNA is filed under the name Erysipelothrix sp. Its description in RNAcentral is "tRNA-Asp". It matches the Rfam family "tRNA". Rfam says of the family: Transfer RNA (tRNA) molecules are approximately 80 nucleotides in length. Their secondary structure includes four short double-helical elements and three loops (D, anti-codon, and T loops). Lineage: Bacteria; Bacillati; Bacillota; Erysipelotrichia; Erysipelotrichales; Erysipelotrichaceae. The record is from RNAcentral.